GAAUAUUGGACAAUGGGCGCAAGCCUGAUCCAGCCAUGCCGCGUGAGUGAUGAAGGCCUUCGGGUCGUAAAGCUCUGUGGGGAGGGACGAAAUCAAUGACGGUCCCUCCUUAGCAAGCACCGGCUAACUCCGUGCCAGCAGCCGCGGUCAUACGGAGGGUGCAAACGUUGCUCGGAAUCAUUGGGCGAAAAGCGCACGUAGGCGGGCGAAUAAGUCGGGUGUGAAAGCCCUCGGCUCAACCGAGGAAGUGCAUUCGAUACUGUUCGUCUCGAGUACGGGAGAGGGUCACGGAAUUCCCGGUGUAGAGGUGAAAUUCGUAGAUAUCGGGAGGAACACCAGUGGCGAAGGCGGUGACCUGGACCGAUACUGACGCUGAGGUGCGAAAGCGUGGGGAGCAAACAGG
RNAcentral lists this ribosomal RNA (403 nucleotides) under uncultured bacterium. RNAcentral's name for it is "bacterial SSU rRNA". It matches the Rfam family "Bacterial small subunit ribosomal RNA", at positions 359 to 776 of the family's 1533-position model. The record is from RNAcentral.